UACGUAGGUGACAAGCGUUGUCCGGAUUUACUGGGCGUAAAGAGCGCGCAGGCGGUCGUUCAAGUCGAGUGUGAAAGCCCCCGGCUCAACUGGGGAGGGUCAUUCGAUACUGAUCGACUCGAAGGCAGGAGAGGGUGGCGGAAUUCCCAAGUAGAGGUGAAAUUCGUAGAUAUGGGGAGGAACACCGGUGGCGAAGGCGGCCACCUGGACGGUAACUGACGCUGAGACGCGAAAGCGUGGGGAGCAAACAGG
RNAcentral lists this ribosomal RNA (252 nucleotides) under uncultured bacterium. Its description in RNAcentral is "partial 16S ribosomal RNA". It matches the Rfam family "Bacterial small subunit ribosomal RNA", at positions 524 to 776 of the family's 1533-position model. The record is from RNAcentral.